GCCUGGGAGGGGCAAUGGGAGACCAUCACACAAUACUCAUUCACACAUUUCCAAGAUAAUUGACUAAAGAUGCAGUUACUUUCCUAAUGAAGACACUAAUGUAAACCAGCUAAAACCAUUCCUGGAAGCACAUUCCUGGGCCAGGGAUGUAAAUAACUCCUAACUAUGAAUAAUCAGAGUAGACACCACCUAGUAAUUCUAAAAUAGUUUGACAUCUCUACCUGCUGAGAAAAAGAAAAAUGAAGAACCCUUGUACACAAUCUCAAGUAUUGUGAGACACCAAGGAGAAUAUUCAACUCCCUAAAAUGUUACUUUAAGGGGAAAAAAACUUCACGGCCGUUUGUAGAUGUGUACUACCUUCAGGAUUCAUAACUGCAGUCUCCUCAAGGUUAUUAAACUAAUAAUAAACAAUGCUAUAGAUAACACUCAAAAUAUUUAUUAACGAUAUUAAUAUAUGAUUUGAAAUUAUUUUGGAGUUAAAGAUUUUUUGGUAGAAGACAUAAGAAGUGUCAAUGGACCCCAUGCUUUGGGCAGUAGGGCUGCGUAUGAAUAGGUAUGAUGGUUUUUCUUUUUGGCUGCACACUUCUUAGUAUUAUGGAUUUUUGGGGUGUUUUAAGUUCAGAAGAAUACAUUUGUGUGUUGGGAUGUGUUUAGCCCUGUGUUGGGGGUGAGGGGAUUUGACUGGCAUAGGUGCUGUGUGACAAGCACAUGGUAAAAUAUGGUUAAUGGAUCCUUAUGAGCUAAGUAAGAAUCAAGAUUUUUUUUUUCUCCCUUUAGCUACUUAAAACUAGAAAUAAUAGGCGUGUGUUGCUCUUAUUAUUUGUAUCUUUGUACAUGAGGGGUUCUGUAGAUAUGUAUAAGAGGGUCAGAGAGUGCUCAGGAGGCCUGAGUCAUAUUGAGAGCUACUUUACCAAGUGCCAGAGAGACAGCUCAAUGGUUCGACCCAUUAAGGGUUUAACGCUUUGAUUUGAGGAGAUCAUAAAGCUUUAUAUGUUCUAUAUUGGGCCUUGUGCAAAUCUCUCACAAACAGUGCCAUUGUUAGAUGCUAACAAUCUUUCGUGGUAUAUUAUAUAUAUAUAUUUCUGCAUGAACACCUUCUUUGUCAUAGUGAGCACCUUAAACUGUUCAUGUGUUCUCUACUCUACAAUGCUUCAAUCUAGUAGAGCUUCCAUGGACUGGAUCCUGUUUAGACUCCAUAAGAACAGUAAGUAUAGCUUUAGUGUAUCAUAUGUUUGUGCGCAUUAUGAUUUACAUUACAAUUUAUCUAAUCUAUUAUCUCAGAAAUAUUUUUGUAAUUAGCAAUCUUUUUAUAUGCUUUCUAUUAAUUUGUCUAUAAUUUAUCAAUGUAUUACAUUCUGUUUGCUUUUAUUCAAUCUUGUGUCUAUAUUUGUAUCUCUAUAAUUAAUUUAUUAGCGUUUGAUUUUUUAACAUUGUUUUUGUUAUAUUUUUAUGUGCUGUAUAUUUACACACAAAUUACCUGUAUGUAUAAAGAUAUUGAAUAGAUCUGAAUAAAUAGAGCAUGUUUUAUGAGCUUUUCACCAGUCCUUUAUUUUUUAAUUGAUAAUAUCUGAGAGGCUCAAAGUUUGUGUGUAAUAAGUUAAGAAUGUGUUUUAUUACUAUAAAAAGCAUAUAAACAAAGAGGUAGAGUACAAGCAACUGGUCCUUUCUAGUACUAUAUUCUUCAUGAUGGAUUGUCACUGGGUUUUAAUACUAGGUACUAGUUAUUUUAAUGACUAUUCAUGGCAUGAGUUCAAUCCAACAAACAAAAAAUGAAGGAGGCUAUUGAUAUCCAAGGACACAUCUUUAAAAUUCUGUACCACCAAAGAGAAUGAAUAAAUUAUAAGAAAAUAUAAUGAAAAGAAUACAGUUCUGCCGUCAGCUCAAGUCAAGCACUGACUUUGCUUCUUUUCUCUUUUUCUUGAGAACUGCACAUUGUCUUAAGAAAAGGGUUUUGGCAGCUUCUAGGGAAACUGGUACAAAGUUGCAUCCUUUCCUAAAUACUCAGGGCAUCAAGGAGUUUUCAGGUGUAAUGCAGAAAGUUGGUAGUUUGUAUAUAGAAAAACUGUUGUUAGAGGAAGAGACUUAUAAACUAUUAUUAGUAUUUGUUUGCUGAUGUGAUUACACUUCUGUUAUCGGUUCCAAAAUUAGAAUAAUUUAUUGAGGAAAGGAAUUUAAGAGUUUAAAAGAAUAAAAAUAAUAUAUGAAAUUUUAUCAAGCCCGCUAUCUGGUAUGUUAGCAGCUACAAAUCUGAACAGUACUUGAUAAUCCUUUUAUUGUGUAUUCUAGAAUUUGGUUAGUGCCAUUCUGUUUUAAUAAACACAGAUUUGCUAGGCAAGAUAGAACUAGUUAAUCACACAGUGCAGCCAAUCCAAGUCUAUGCUACUUUUCUUUCUUUACAAAUAUCUACACACAAAAUUGUCUACUUUUAAACAUUUGCAUGAUAUGAUAGACUCAAUUUUGUCAUUCUAUAGUUUAAAAGUAAUUCCAUAAUGUAUAUAUGUUGGAAUACAAGACACUAAGUACUGUAUUAUGUAAUAUACCUGGAAUUAUACUGCUACUAAUUCCUUUCUGUUUCUCUUUUUUUUUUUUCUUUCUUUUCUCUUUCCCCUUUUUUUUUUUAUUUCUUUUUGUUUCAUUUUCUUUCUCCCUUUCUUUUCAGAUCUAUACAUUUAUUUUGCUUAUGUAUUAAUAUAUAGCAUCAACAUUUCCCACAGCAGUGUUUAGAGAUUGUCAUCACUCUAUCAUCUCAUAUCUGUCUAUCUAAUCUAUUUGAUCUAUCUCUCUCUCUGCCUAUCUUGUAUCUAUGAUCUCAUUGCUAUCUAUCUAUAUAAUUCAAUCGAUCUCUCAUCUAUCUUGUCCACUUGCUAUCACUAAUAUCAGUUUCUUAGCAGAUACAUUUUCAAGUAAUUAAACCCAAUUUCAGAAAUGUAGUCAUUGCACUAGAUGUAAUUGUUCAGCGAUUACAGAGAGAUACUCCAAAUUCCAAAUGGAGCUUUUGGUCUAAUUAUGUUAUUAUAAUUGGAAAAUGAAAAUAAAGGCAAUGCCGCAAUUAAACAUGCUCCUGAGCAGUGUGGUGAAUAGAUGUAAAGUCUUGGGUAAUCACUAAGCAAACCUUUUGCCUAUGGUAAGGGAUGCAUUGUGUAGUCAUGGAAACCUUACAUUUUCUAAAAAUGGCUACUGCCUUCAUUUAACUAGUUUAGUCAUGUCAGAUGGUUAGUUCCUGCAAGGUAUCCCUGGCUAAUAGGUAUGGAAAUGAACUGGGGAAAAAUGGAUUUAAGGUUUUUGAAGGGGUAAACAAUGAAACAUCACUUAAAAUUGUUAGAAUGUUUAAAAUUUACUGCUCUUUUUAAUGCUUUGGAAUAAUUUUAUCUAAUAACUGUUCCCGCAAUAGAUCUUUAAAAAUGUAAAAGAGAAUGAAGAGAAAGAACUUCUACAAUAACUUAAUUUUGGGCUUAAAUACUUUCUUUACUUCUGAUCUCCUCAACAGUCUAAUCAUUUAUAAAAUUACAUUCGAGGUACCCACUCAUUCAUACUAAUUAAAGUACACAACCAUGUCCAGGAAUUGUUUUUUUUUGUUGUUGUUUCAUCUAGUUGCAAGGCUUAAAAUAACCCUUUGUCACUUUUUUUUCCCACAGGUUAAAUGGACCUUUAAAGUGUUUUUUUUUUCCCUAAAAAGUAAAUGGCUGUUAAUGUUUUAUAGCAGUGUUCCCAAACUGUGGCUCUCCAGCUUCUGUAAAAUUACAACUCUCAUCAUACCCUGGCUGUCAUGAUGGGAGUUGUAGUAAUGCACCAUCUGCAGAGCCACAGGUUAAGGAGCAUUGGUUUACAGUUUUACUAGUGGGUAGGUCUAACGUAUCGGGGAGCAUUAACAAUAGUUGCUGAUUUUCUAUUUUUUUUUAGGUAGAAAAUAGUGCAGUCAUAUGCACUAUAAUCUCUCCACCCAGUGUCUUCUCACCAGCACACACCAGUGUUCACUUUAGGCCAUGGUGAAGACUACAUUUGCUCUUGGCCAUCUGGUAACACUACAUGUGUCAAGAGCUACUUAAAUCAUGUUGCUAGCCGGGGUUCUACAUAACAAAUGCUUUAUUUGUGCAUAUAUUUUGUGUAUAUUCUUUUCUUUUGUGCAAAGUUGACCCCCAGCCUUCAAAGCUUAUCCUCUCUAUCGUACUUGGACAUGAUGCGUACUGACCAGUAGAGGUAAUCCUUUAGUAAAUAGGGGCAUUAUUAACUAUCUAAAUUAUCUAGAUUUGUAAAAUUGUUAAUUGAUUGAAUAGUAGAUAAUAAUUUACCACCUGGCCAUCUCAUUUCACACACAAACACACACACGAACACAUAUAUGUGUAAAUAUAUAUAAUUUUUAUUUAUUUUAGAUCUGAAUAUUACCUAUACUCAUACCAAUCAACUUAUGUAUGAACAAUAAGCUAAACAAAUGUAAAGGAGUGACUGCUAUGUGUGUCAGUAUUAAAAGAUGAAUGUGGCACUUCUUAAUGUAUACAUUACAUUAUUUGUAAUCACUGCUAACAUUACAAGCUAUAAAAUCGUAUAAAACCCCCACAGCUGUAUUCAUCCUUUAUUACUCAUUAUUCUUAGCCAAGCCUAUUCUACUAUAUAGCAAUGGCCUUGGUACCAUUAUACCAUUUGUUACCGAAUGACUAUUUAUUCAUCGUGUAUUGUUUUGUAGUCACAAAAAUGUAAUUAAUGAAAUAAAACUAACUUUAUCAAAAUUAACAUGAUUUACUCUUUAAAUUUGGUCUUUAUUACAUUUUUGCAUUUUUAUUGUGCUUGUGUUUUAGAAUUAGACAAUUCUAAUUGAUAUCAAUAAAGUAUAUCAUUAUAAAGUGACUCAUAUACUUUGUGAAAAAUGCAUUAAAUGAUACAUAUAUUAACCCAUUGUAUUUCAAUAAUAUUUGAAUAUAAUAAUUCUAUUAUGCUGUAACAUCUAUCUAUUGAUCUAUCUUUCUAUCAUCUAUCUAUAUCUGUCUAUCCUUAUUGAACUACUUUUCAAAUAUUAUGGGGGGAAUAUAUCAUCGCUUGUAUGCUAACUUUUCCUGUG
Hyla sarda is the source of this 5053-nucleotide long non-coding RNA. RefSeq lists it as uncharacterized. The transcript has 3 exons. The record is from RefSeq and is a predicted model, not a curated record. NCBI's taxonomy places the organism in Eukaryota, Metazoa, Chordata, Amphibia, Anura, Hylidae.